RNAcentral lists this ribosomal RNA (397 nucleotides) under uncultured Glomeromycotina. RNAcentral describes it as "SSU rRNA". It matches the Rfam family "Eukaryotic small subunit ribosomal RNA", at positions 569 to 970 of the family's 1831-position model. Lineage: Eukaryota; Fungi; Glomeromycota. The record is from RNAcentral.
AGCAGCCGCGGUAAAUUCCAGCUCCAAUAGCGUAUAUUAAAGUUGUUGCAGUUAAAAAGCUCGUAGUUGAAUUUUGGGUUUGGCCAAUUGGUCCGUUCUUGUAACGAGUACUGGUUGGUUGGGCCUCACCGCCUGGUGAUGCGUAAUGUCCUUUAUUGGGUGUUGCGAAUAGCCAGGACUUUUACCUUGAAAAAAUUAGAGUGUUUAAAGCAGGCUUAUGCCGGAAUACAUUAGCAUGGAAUAAUAGAAUAGGACGAUGAUUCUAUUUUGUUGGUUUCUAGGACCAUCGUAAUGAUUAAUAGGGAUAGUUGGGGGCAUUAGUAUUCAAUUGUCAGAGGUGAAAUUCUUGGAUUUAUUGAAGACUAACUACUGCGAAAGCAUUUGUCAAGGAUGUUUU